RNAcentral lists this ribosomal RNA (451 nucleotides) under uncultured bacterium. RNAcentral's name for it is "bacterial SSU rRNA". It matches the Rfam family "Bacterial small subunit ribosomal RNA", at positions 354 to 796 of the family's 1533-position model. The record is from RNAcentral.
GUGGGGAAUAUUGGACAAUGGGGGGAACCCUGAUCCAGCCAUGCCGCGUGUGUGAAGAAGGCCUUUUGGUUGUAAAGCACUUUAAGCGAGGAGGAGGCUACCGAGAUUAAUACUCUUGGAUAGUGGACGUUACUCGCAGAAUAAGCACCGGCUAACUCUGUGCCAGCAGCCGCGGUAAUACAGAGGGUGCAAGCGUUAAUCGGAUUUACUGGGCGUAAAGCGCGCGUAGGUGGCCAAUUAAGUCAAAUGUGAAAUCCCCGAGCUUAACUUGGGAAUUGCAUUCGAUACUGGUUGGCUAGAGUAUGGGAGAGGAUGGUAGAAUUCCAGGUGUAGAGGUGAAAUGCGUAGAGAUCUGGAGGAAUACCGAUGGCGAAGGCAGCCAUCUGGCCUAAUACUGACACUGAGGUGCGAAAGCAUGGGGAGCAAACAGGAUUAGAAACCCCAGUAGUCC